GAAGCACAUUGCGUACUGUGAAACCAAAAUAGUUUGAACGGGAAUACUCGUGUCGUGAUUUGUGUUGGGGAGAUUCAAGACUCGCCUGAUGCCUUAUAUUGAUGCUUGGAUUGCAUCAGGAAUAGCAGACAUCUUUGAGGGAAACCGAGCAACCAGACGUCGUCCCUCCGUGGCUGCAUCCGGUACAACUUUUCCGCGUGGAAUCCGUACAAUGGAUUCAUGACGAAUUUGCCCGGCUCACUCUUCACCAGUCCGGACGUGUAACCAGGGAAAUGGGGUCGUAGUUUUUUCCAUUCAUUUUGGGGCAUGCUGUAAAACUGGACUCUCAGCUGGAGCUGGUUAAAGUUGUUGUCGUUGGACAGAGACAUGGUUCUGCUUGCGGCUCAAGUACCUGACAGUCUGCGUCACACUGUCAAUUUGCCUCUUAAUUCUUAUUUGUGUACCUUAAAACAAUUCCGAUACAGCCAGGCCAAUUGUGAGGCAUCCUUUA
Molecule: long non-coding RNA, 490 nt
Organism: Daphnia magna
Lineage: Eukaryota; Metazoa; Arthropoda; Branchiopoda; Diplostraca; Daphniidae
Exons: 2
Source: RefSeq, a predicted model, not a curated record